Molecule: RNA transcript, 993 nt
Organism: Gossypium arboreum
Lineage: Eukaryota; Viridiplantae; Streptophyta; Magnoliopsida; Malvales; Malvaceae
Gene name: protein SET DOMAIN GROUP 40-like
Exons: 6
Source: RefSeq, a predicted model, not a curated record
UCUUUUUUUCAUGUCCGACACUAAAACCCCUAAUUUUCUCCCCUAAAAUCAGUAUCCUCAAAACAACCCCAAUCUCCCCCCUCCGUUGCCCUUUUCAAUAAAGAAACUCUCCAAUAGCAGUGUCUCCGUUGUUUGGGUGUCUCUUGCUUCCCCGGCGCCGGAGGAAGAGGUGUGGCUGCUCUCCGGUCGAUUAGCAAAGGAGAGUUGCUUUUUAAAGUUCCAAAAUCUGCCAUAAUCACAACUGACUAUCUUCUUUCAAGAGAUGAAACUUUGUCUCUUGCACUCAAAGCCCAUCCUUCUCACUCUUCUACCCAGGCAGGUAUUCACUGUUUGUUUGUUAUAUGAAAUCAAUAAAGGAAAGGCUUCUCCAUGGCACCCUUAUUUUCUAUACUUGCCUCGUAGUUAUUCCAUACUCGCCGCUUUCGGUGAACUUGAAACGCAAGCUUUGCAAGUGGAUUAUGCCAUCUGGGCUACUCAGAAAGCUGUCACAAAAGCUAAAUACGAAUGGGAACAAGCCUUCACUCUCAUGAAGGAACUUAAGCUUAAGCCUCCACUUCUCACUUUCAGGGCUUGGAUUUGGGCUACUGGGACUGCACUAGAUUUGAAGCCAAACUAUGUGCGUGCUUGGGCAAACAUGGGUAUCAGUUACACCAACCAGGUUUGAGUUUUUGUUGGAUGCAUGGUCCAGGAUUAGUUGAAUUCAUGCAUAGUGGCGACUUGUUUGAGCUAAUUGCUGAUCUUAAAUGUCACGCUAGCUCGGGGUUUGAAGAUUGUCGGAGAUCCACUCACACUAUCAAUAAUUAUUUUGGUACCAAUGAAUUCAACAUUUUGAGUUAUGGCAUGUAUAAGGGACUUGGUCAUUUUAUUAUGUGUCAUAAUUGAUUUGGCCAAAUGUGUUGGCUUAUAUUGGUUAGUAAUUCAUUUUGUAUAAAGCCAUUGGAAAUGGGCUAAUAUUGGCUAUAAGUAUAUUUAUAAAAUGAUGCAUUUCAUGAA